GCUUGUCUCAAAGAUUAAGCCAUGCAUGUCUAAGUAUAAACAAAUCUAUACUGUGAAACUGCGAAUGGCUCAUUAUAUCAGUUAUAGUUUAUUUGAUGGUCCUUGCUACUUGGAUAACCGUAGUAAUUCUAGAGCUAAUACAUGCAUCAGACCCCGACUGUUUGGAAGGGGUGUAUUUAUUAGAUGGAAACCAAUGCGGGGUAACCCGGAUUCAGGUGAUUCAUAAUAACUUUCGGAUCGAUCGCAAGAUCGAUGCAUCAUUCAAGUUUCUGCCCUAUCUAUCAGCUUUGGAUGGUAGGGUAUUGGCCUACCAUGGCUUUAACGGGUAACGGAGAAUUAGGGUUCGAUUCCGGAGAGGGAGCCUGAGAAAUGGCUACCACAUCCAAGGAAGGCAGCAGG
RNAcentral lists this ribosomal RNA (399 nucleotides) under uncultured Chrysophyceae. RNAcentral's name for it is "partial small subunit ribosomal RNA". It matches the Rfam family "Eukaryotic small subunit ribosomal RNA", at positions 30 to 432 of the family's 1831-position model. Lineage: Eukaryota; Chrysophyceae. The record is from RNAcentral.